Molecule: unclassified non-coding RNA, 108 nt
Organism: Otolemur garnettii (small-eared galago)
Lineage: Eukaryota; Metazoa; Chordata; Mammalia; Primates; Galagidae
Rfam family: Y RNA
About the family: Y RNAs are components of the Ro ribonucleoprotein particle (Ro RNP), in association with Ro60 and La proteins. The Y RNAs and Ro60 and La proteins are well conserved, but the function of the Ro RNP is not known.
Source: Ensembl
AGCUGGUCUGAAGAUAGUGAGGCAUCUCACUUGAUUGUUCACAGUUACAGAUUGAACUCCCUGUUCUACUCUUUCCCCUUUCCCACCACUGCACUUGACUAAUCUUAA